UACGUAGGUGGCAAGCGUUGUCCGGAUUUACUGGGCGUAAAGGAUGCGUAGGCGGAUAUUUAAGUGAGAUGUGAAAUACCCGGGCUCAACUUGGGUGCUGCAUUUCAAACUGGAUAUCUAGAGUGCAGGAGAGGAAAGUGGAAUUCCUAGUGUAGCGGUGAAAUGCGUAGAGAUUAGGAAGAACAUCAGUGGCGAAGGCGACUUUCUGGACUGUAACUGACGCUGAGGCAUGAAAGCGUGGGGAGCAAACAGG
Molecule: ribosomal RNA, 253 nt
Filed under: uncultured bacterium
Lineage: Bacteria
Description: partial 16S ribosomal RNA
Rfam family: Bacterial small subunit ribosomal RNA
Source: RNAcentral